GCAGAGGGAGUUUUAUGUAAAAACUCUGGAGUUUCUCAAACUGAAGCCUCGUGGGCCAGCGCUAGCGAGGGCGAGAUGACGGAGCUUCUUUGCGAGGCGACGGCGAGGGACGCGGCGACGGCGAAGCGCGCGGCCAAUCACCGCCUCUCGCGGCCACCGCUCCCCCGAGGCAGGUGACGGCGAGCGACGGCGAUCAUCGGCGGGCUGCUCUAUCUCGGUCCGGCACGCUCGCGACCACAGAAAGUAGGCGGGACGUGCCGUCGUCUGGUCAAGCCGCGUUCUGUUUCCAUGAAAUCCGCGCAGGCCAAAUGAGUUCUCAUUUUUGAUCUCUGAGCGCGCCAGGCACUUUCGCAAUGUCUUAACUGGCGAAAAAGGGGAGCCAAGCCGUUCGCAGGGCUAAUGUGAACCAGAGACAGACAAAAUGUCAGGAUGUUGCAUGUUAGAAAACUCCGCGAUGAAAGGGGUCCCGUGGACUGUGUCCAAAAUCGCUCAAAGGGAAUCGGAGAGCAGGCAAAUCCACAGCAGAUUUGGAGAGGUCCCGAGCUGACACAUCACACGGCGGGGCCAUUUUGUGGGGAAGCGAUAAUUUCGCUACUCCCUCCAGAAGCAUCAGGAAGAACAUUAAGCCUCAGCUUGGUAGGAAGGUGGAUUUAUGGAGCAUACCAGAGCCGCAAAGAUAUUUGUCAACAAAGCCAUUCACAAGAAUUACAUGGAAGGAUUUGGAAAAAACAGAAAGAGAGCGAGUGAGAUGGCCAAGGAACCGCUAACCGCAUUGCACAGUUCUGUUUUCCCUCUUCUUGUCACAUCAAACGCUGCGAGGGGACCUGCUCGGCUGGGGCUCUGCUACGAUGGGGAGUCCAACUGGUGGAAGCGGGGCUUAAAGGGUUAAAGGGUCCUUCCAUCACUUUACCCUCCCACAGGCUCCCUAGCCUCAGUGCUUCAACCGCAACAAUGUCUUAUCUUCCUGGCUGUUUCUCCUCCACCACAUGUACGUGGGGGAUUACGGCAGGGAAGGUUUCAGUUGUUAGGGUUGAGCCGUCGAAUGUCCAACAGCCCCAGCAUUGCCGAAGAAGCGUUGCAUUCAGUGCUUGUAACCAUAAAGCUGACUAUAAAUGAUGUAGCUGUCAUUUUAACAACCUUUAAUCAUAAACUUUAAGAACACAAAGGAUACAAAGUCCAAACUGAGGAGUAUUUAGUUUAUAAUAAUUAAAAUUUGUUGACUUGGACAUACAGUGCCAAGUCAGUAGUGUUGACGAAGCUGGAUUGUAAGCUUUUGCUUUGUCCAACCAAACAGUUCCAUGGGGUUAUUUGGUUUAUUUGUUUUUCUUAUCAUAGGAACACAUUUGAUGCCUCUUACCCAAGUACUCCAUGCUAUCCAGUAAUGUACUGUGCAUAUAUCAGAUGAAUGAGGUCAUCUUCGGUGGAAAAUUUUGUCAGACAAUACUCCCAGUGCGUCUGGAACCCGGCCAGCCCCACAGCAUUGAGAUGAUACAGACAAACACCCGAAACACUGGCAGCCGCAGCGGAGAAGCAGAUGCUCCCGGACGUCACAGCUGCCCUCGGUCGGCAAGCGGAGCCGAAUCGGACCUGAGCGGUGGGAAAGCAGGGGAUCUAUUUUUGUAUGUUUUUGUUGAGUUGUCCUUUUAUUUAGGGUGAGGCCAUAUAUAAGCCCCUUGGGUUUCUUGCCUCUCCCUGCACUAUUUCACUGUUUUUAAGUCUCUUCUAUUUCUGUUUUAUAUUUUAAUUGUGCUAAAUAAAAUCAAAAUCAAAUCAAAUCAAA
Long non-coding RNA from Anguilla rostrata (American eel), 1780 nucleotides. RefSeq lists it as uncharacterized. The transcript has 3 exons. Lineage: Eukaryota; Metazoa; Chordata; Actinopteri; Anguilliformes; Anguillidae. The record is from RefSeq and is a predicted model, not a curated record.